UCACUUUCUCUUAAUUUUCGUAACCUUUUAAAAAGCCUCCCUUUCGGACUCCUCACUCUUUCCGAAGCCAUCGCCCCAAAAUAGGGCACUGUUUUUUUUUGAAAAUCCUGUAUGCACAAAAUUCAUUCAAACGAAGAUCCACAAUUACGAGGGAAACAUCUGCAGCCAGACGCCUAGCCAUCUGUCACCUUCACAGCCUUUAAAUCAUACUAAUUAUCUAUUUGGUUAUUAGUUUUAAUUAGCUCGAUGUAGACCUACAUGCAUCAACAUCACGGGGGGAAAAUAAUCACCAUUACUUGCUUAGCCCGCCCCUUAUGGACCCCAAGUCAAAUGAGGGCGCACUAUACCGUGCUUCGACAGAGUUGACCGCUGCAUUUAAUUUCGUAAUUAUCCCAAUAAAUGUCUUAAGAUAGUUGUCACAAAGUGAUACUUGGUUUUUAAUCGAAAUGACUCUUUAAACUGACAAAACACUAAUUUAUUUUUAGGGGUCUACAAUUUCUGAGUUCGGUUAAACGGAAGUGGUUUAGAGAAACACAAUUUAUUUUCCUCGGGACCGCCACACCCAACUACAUGUAUUUCUAGAAUUAGUUAUUGAACCAUCAAAGAAUGGGGCAGUCAACUCCAGUAGAGUUGUCAUUGGUAAGUGUAUUGGUACUUUGCAUAAAUUUAAGUGUUGAAUAUUCAUUUAGCCAAGUGAAUGCAUUUAUUGAAUUCUUGGGCCUUAGUAUGUAGCAUUGCUGAAAUGUUUUUCUCCGGGUUUAUAAGCAAAACGAGUUUGGAAUGGGGCAGAUUUUGAGAUGAGAUUCCGAGGAGAGGGCAGAGACCAGCCUCGAUGAUUUUGAGAAAUAAUUUGUGAGAAAUUUUUGAUAUGGAGAAGCCAAAGGAGAGGGCUCAGCCAGCCUACGGCAUUAGUAUAUUUUAAGCUUGAGCUAGUAAGAGCCAAGCCGCUGAAACCUUGGACAAGCUAGGAAUCACCCACAUUCCUAGCUUUUGGGGGUUGAGAAUAGUGCAACCUUUGACCAGAGGACCAGAAGCGACAGGGCAGGACCGCAGCGGCGGACAAGUUACGGACCAUCACAGGCGCUACUGAUCAUACCCCAAGAUCCCAAGAUCAAGAUACACCGGGACGGACGCAUCGAGUAUUAAUGAUUGUAUACAUUGUUGAUAAUUAUUUUGGGGAUUUUGAAGAAGAGACCAAACCUUUGCGUUGAAACGUUGAAAUAUAAAUAAAUUGUACAUAAUAUAAAUAUAA
This is a long non-coding RNA of Patiria miniata (bat star), 1252 nucleotides long. RefSeq lists it as uncharacterized. The transcript is spliced from 2 exons. The record is from RefSeq and is a predicted model, not a curated record. NCBI's taxonomy places the organism in Eukaryota, Metazoa, Echinodermata, Asteroidea, Valvatida, Asterinidae.